This 393-nucleotide ribosomal RNA is filed under the name uncultured bacterium. RNAcentral's name for it is "bacterial SSU rRNA". It matches the Rfam family "Bacterial small subunit ribosomal RNA", at positions 28 to 410 of the family's 1533-position model. The record is from RNAcentral.
GACGAACGCUGGCGGCGUGCCUAACACAUGCAAGUCGAGGGAGUCCACCCUUUCGGGGUGAGGCGACCGGCGGACGGGUGAGGAACACGUGAGCAACCUAUCCUGGUGCGGGGACAACCCGGGAAACCCGGGACGUAAUACCGCAUGGGCGAGUCUUCUGCAUGGGGACUUGGGAAGCUGGCCUCUUAACAAUGCUAGCGUGCCGGGAGGGGCUCGCGGCCUAUCAGCUAGUUGGUGGGGUAAUGGCCCCACCAAGGCAGCGACGGGUAGCGGGUCUGAGAGGACGACCCGCCACAUUGGGACUGAGACACGGCCCAGACUCCUACGGGAGGCAGCAGUGGGAAUCUUGGGCAAUGGCCGAAAGGCUGACCCAGCGACGCCGCGUGUGGGAGG